AUGCAAAAUUCUCGUCCUAUUGCUUAUUUCAGUUCAGGACUCUCGGAUAAACAGAAAAUCAAGCCAGUCUAUGAGAGAGAACUAAUGGCUUUUGUUCCAGCUAUUCAGAAGUGGCGUCACUACCUUUUGGCCAUGAGAUUUCGAGUUCAUAUGAACCAAAAGAGCUUGAAAUUUUUGUUGGAACAAAGAGAGGUGUCCCUAGACUAUCAAAGAUGGUUAACUAAGCUUCUUGGGUAUGAUUUUGAUAUCAUCUACAAACCUGGAGUCGAUAAUAAAGCUGCGGAUGGUCUUUCUCGGAUUGAUCAUUUCGUUUCUAGUGAGACUUCUUUGGCUACGUUCACGACGACAAAUAAUAUUCAGUUACAGGAUAUUCUUGCUGAAGACGACAAUGCGUAUGUGGUCGUAGUAGUCGGCUCGUCGCUACUUUUAUCCAUAUAAUAAGGCAUAUCCUUGAAUUGAUCGGUUUCUGGCUUAGCUCUAUUCCUAUGCAUUGUCACCAUCGGUUCCCGUAACCAAGCCUUCGGCCCUGCUUUAGCUGCACUUGGUGCGUAAUUCAGCCAUCCAAGCUCCGAAGAAUACUGUCAACAAAGGAAAGCACUUGAAUAACCGUUACACGGUGGUUGAUGGAAAGUUGUUGUAUAAAGGAAGGUUGGUUAUUCCUCGCAGUUCGAAACACAUUUCGGUGAUACUUACUGAAAAUCAUGAUUCUUUGGCUGGGAGACAUUCUGAUGUAUUUAAAACUCUCAAGCGGAUUCAAGAAGGGUUUCAUUGGACUCAGAUGGUUAAAGAUAUUCAGGAUUAUGUUUCAGCUUGUGAUGUUUGCCAGCGCCCAAAAUAUUCUACUCUUUCACAUGCAGGAUUAUUGCAGCCUCUACCUAUUCCAGAGCAAGUUUGGGAGGCUUUAUCAAUGGAUUUUAUAGAGGGCCUUCCUCUAUCAGAAGGGGUGAACGUUAUAUUUGUAGUAGUCGACAGGUUGAGUAAGUUUUCUCACUUUCUGAAGUUGAAGCACCCUUUCACCGCAGUGGACGUGGUUGAGCAGUUUGCUAAGGAGGUUAUUCGACUUCACGCCUAAGUCGAUUGUUUCGGUUCGAGAAUGGAUUUUCUUGAGUUCAUUUUGGAAAAACUUUUUUCGACUGAGUGGAACACAACUGAAGUAUAGCACAUAUUUUCACCCCCAAACAGAUGGUCAAACCAAAGUACUUAAUAGGUGUUUGGAGACUUACUUGAGAUGCUUUGCGUCUGCACAUCCUAAGUCAUGGGCGAAGUACUUACCUUGGGCUGAACUCUAGUACAACACCAAUUUUCGCACUUUCUUGGGGAUUACUCCAUUUCGGGUGUUGUAUGGCAGGAACCCUUCUCAUCUCUUACGUUAUGAAUCGGGAUCUACUUUUAAUUUUGAGCUGGAAUCGAUGCUUCGGAAAAGAGAUGAGAUGCUCGUUCAAAUCAAGCAUCAUCUAUCACUGGCCCAGGAUCGCAUGAAAAUGAAUGCAUACAAACAUAGGAGGGAGCUCAGUUUUAACAAGGGCGACAUGGUCUUUCUCAAGCUGCGACAAUACAUGCAGCAAUAUGUUGCUAAAAGGUUGUAUCAGAAGUUAGCAGUCAGAUUUUAUGGUCCCUUUGAAGUCUUGGAGAAGGUGAGAGAUGUAGCAUAUCGUGUGUUGUUACCAGUGGAUUCGAAGAUUCAUAAUAUGUUCCAUGUGUCUCAGUUGAAACCAGUCAUUGGAUCACAUCAUUCAGUGUCACCUUUACCUACAUCAUUCUCACUUGGAGAUGAAGUGGUUAUUGAACCAGAAUCAAUUGUGGAUACACGGUAUGAUGUGCAAGGGCAUUUGGAAGCAUUGGUUUCUUGGAGCGGUAUUCCAUAUCAUGAAAACUCUUGGGAGCGAGUGUCUGAGUUGCUGCAGCAAUUUCCUCGUAUGAAGCUUGAGGACAAGCUUCAGACGAGGAUAAGCCAUUGAGAGCUUAUGUGAGACAGAGGAUAAUGAGAGCUGACGUGGAAGGGGCAUCUAAAGAUCUCAACAAACAAGGCUGACGUGGCGAGGAAGGAGGAAAAAGUUUGUUAUGAUCAGUUUUACAUAAAUAUCUACUUGUUUGUUGCUUUGAUUCUUUAUCGAGUAAUUGUACUUUGAUCAUUGGGGUUGUAGAGAGAUUUUCUUUACGAGAAGGCAGUAAUUAGAAAGGCAGUAAUUCGAGAGAGUGUUCUCGUUUUGCUGAGGAUCAGAUACUUUGAGGAGAGAUUAUUACUGUAGUUCAUAUUGAUACUCUUGUUAAUCGAAUACAACUCAGUAUUUGCUUAACACACAGCCUUUCAAUGGUUAACUAGUCAUUCGCUGGUUAUUCUUGUCUCUUCAGGUUUUAGCAGUUUAGACUUGUCAAACGAAACCUCUAAUCUUUGAUGAUUAGAUAUUUUGGUACGAUCAUUAAAUCAGGCAGGCUAUAGAAGAUGAGCUCAUAAAACAGACAGUUAUGUGUUGCAAAAUUCUUGUUUAUAAUCUUGUGGUCAGUUUUUGUUUGAUUGAAGCAACAGAUUACCUAAAGAUCACUUGGCUGAUAUCUGCUAAGGUAUGAGCUAGGAAGGCAGCCAGCUAACACCAAGAAGUAGAGGUGCUACAACCGAGAAAAGUAACUAGAGCAACCAUGUUCAACCACGACUAGAGAAACGUCUUCAAGGUUCAGCACUAGACUCACACCUCGAAGAGCAAUUUGGAAGUUGGUGAUUAUUGACAUACAUCUCAUCAAGAACUGGUCAAUGGUGGAUGUUCCGAUUGGGUGAAAACCAGUCUCGUCUGCAUCAGAAUUAACAGAUAUUCUUACAUGGAACUGUUACAUGUUAAAAAGGAAAGAAGUCGAUAAUAGCAUGUGCAUUCACAUACUUUACAACCAAUAUACAUAUAAAGAUGUGUUUGAACAAUAUUAACUGAGAUAUAGCCUCAAAGCUUCUCCUUUAGAACCCUUUACGAAGAUAGCCAAAGGAUUAAAGGAGAAUUGUGUACUUCGAGCUGGAGGUUUCAGAAAGGUUUACAGAGUAGAUCUUCUUGAUGGUUCUGAAAUCGCAAUUAAGAGAGUACAUCUCAUGGUUCAAAACAACGAAUGCAAGAGUAGGUUUCAGAAAUUUGCUACUGUAGGAAGACUAGGAAACAUGAAAUUGGUUCAACUUUGUGGUUACUGCAAAGUAAAAGUGAAUUGCUUGCUGCACGAACCAUAGCUUAUUUGCUUUUUAAGUAGACUGGUUUUUAUACUGCCAUUUUUGUCAAAGUAAUUCAUAGUUUUAUUAGAUAAAAUCAGUUCAGAAACGUAAACUAUAAAUGAUAGGAUUUCGAUAGAUAGAAAACCAAAGCAUUUAAGUACUGGUUGUCCAAGCCGUAGAAAACGUAAUCAUGAUAUCGUUUUAGAAAGGUUUUGAAAUGCAAGAUAUUCCUACUAUUGGUUGAGUCUUGUCAUACGUAACUUACCGUUUGUAGGCUCUUGCUCUGUACAUUUCGAUCAUCUUGUAUGGUCUUUUCCAUCUAGGAGCCAAUUUUCCUGCUGACUUGUUUUUAGUGUUGUUGAAUACUCGUUCAAAAAUCUAAGAGCAAUUCUUUCAAAUAGCUAUUUUUAUUUUUUUUUCACAAAAAUAGUCAUAAAAAUGACCAAAAUAGCAUUUUUUAUUUUGAAAUUUUUUAUUUUUAUUUUUUAUUUUUUAAAAUUUGAAAUCCUAUCCCCAAAACCCUGAGUCGAGAUUAGUUAACCCUAGGAUAAAAAUACAUUUUAUCUUUUAAUAAAACUUAUUUUGAUCAUUUUUUUCAUUAAUGGUUAUUUUUGUGACAAAAACUUAAAAAUAGCUAUCAUAAGGUAUUUCUCAAACUUUUCUAAUCCAAACCUUUUGUUGAAAGGUUCUGGUUAUCUCUUUUUGUGUUGUAGCUCCUGAUUAUUUUUUGCUCGUAACACUUGUUUUUUAUUCUGGUCACCUUUAUAUUAGUUUUUUUAGUAACUAAUAUAUUGUUUGUUGAUUUAUGGUUUGUUCCAGGGGCGAAGCCAGGAAAUUUUUAUAAUGGGUGCACAACAUUAAAGCCAGAAAAUUUCAUUCGACUUCGUAGAGUUGUCUUCAGUAUUUUCAUUGUCGAGAAAUAUCUUUUAAUAUUUGCAACUGAUAAAGUUAAAAUCAACUUCAAAAACCUAUAAACCAAAAUUAAAGAUUAUUAAGUAAUAAACUAUUUUUUCAUCGUCGAGAUAAAUUUAAUUAAAACUGAAAACGUAACAUAAUUCAAACGUGCAAUCUACCAAAAACAUGAUUAAUGAAACAUAUAUAAAUUACAAACAUGUAAAACCUGCAAACCAUCAAGAGUAAAAGAGUAAAGCCACUUCUAUGAAUUUUGGAUUUUUACUGAAUCAAAAACUUAGAUGCUAUUUAAAUAAUUACUAAUCGUAAACAUUGUUUAGAACGACUCAAAGCAUUAACAUAUAAAUUAUUAAAUUAGUUACCAGUUUUGUAUGAUAGACAAGCGAAUAAAACUUUGUCAAUUUGAUUUGAUGGUUUACACUUGCAUGUUUAACAAGAAAAGCUUAAGCGAUUAAUUUUUUUGAGCGAAUUGUUUGGAUUUUAACAAAGAAAAGAGAGAAUACAAUUGGGCUUUAAAGCUAAUUUUAAUUUUUGAUGAGGUAAAUUAUUUUUAAUUUUCUUUUCAUUUGGGCUUAAUGUAAAUUUUAGUGGGUGCACUACCAUGAAUUAUAGUGGGUGCACAUUUAAAAUUCCUUAACAAUUACAUUAAUCUUUUUAAAAAAUUAUGGGUGCAUGUGCACCCCUUCCCUACUGAGUGGCUUCGCCCCUGGUUUGUUCAUAUAUUUCCUAUAUGACGUAUUAUCUAAAGUUUGUAUAUUCAAUCAUAAGUGAAUGCAAAAAAAAAGUAUUACUUUCUCUUUAUUAGGGGCCCCUUUAUUUAUUAGAAUAGUAAAAAUGUAUAUUUGAGGUGUUUCCAAAUUUUAGUUGGUGAUAUAAAUAUUUUUUCAAUUCAAAACUUUUUUACAAAUUAUUAUUGUUCAAACAUUAGUAUAGAACUAUAGAUAUGUGAAGUAUAAAAAUAAGAAAAAAUAAUAAUUAAUGUAAUUGAAGAACUAAGAGUAUUAAAGGAUGCACACUAUUCAAAUUAACUGAGAUUAAUUUUAAUUGUAUAUUUUUAGAAAUAAAUUACAUACACUAUUCAAAUGUAUUUGUAUGUAUAAUAACAAAUUAAAUAUUUUAUGAUAAAAAAUAAUAUUAAAGGUAAGAAAAAAAUUUCCUAGUCAACUUUUUUUUGCUAGAUCUUGGUCAAACGAAACAGCAUUGCACAACAAUAUAAAAUCUUGUAACGAUAGAUUCAACCAAGUAAUAAUCACAUAACCUGAGUACCCACACUUCAUUUUAUAAAUGUAUAACUUUGAUAUCAUUAUAAACGUUUAAAUAUAUGAUUUACAUUUAGCGUUAUAUAUUGUAUAGUUCUAUAAUCUUAUUGUUUAGGCUUAAUAUUCGUCAUGAUUAAUAUACAACGAUUUUUUUUAUACAUUUUAUUUUCUUAUUAAUUUUUAUUACUUAUUAAUAUAUUUUUGAGUUCAGCAAAUACAUAGUCUCCUUCAAUAUAGCUUUGUAAUUUAUAUAUUUUUUAUACAAUACAUUUUAAAAUUAUUUAGUUAACUAUAGAUGGAUAUUUUUAUGAUAAUUUAUAUUAUAUGUUUUUUUAAAGAAAAUUUAGUUGAACAUCAAUCAUUUUUGUAUUUUGUAAAGUUUUAUAAAUAAAUACAUUGUUAUCCUUAAAUCCAGAGCCGGCUCUUGGGCCAAGUGGAUGAAGCCCAUGCUUCCGGCCGCAUUUAAAUAACUACAAUAUCGGCCUCAAAUUCCAUAAAAGUAUCAGUAGCCUAGUUUAGUUACAUGUUAUAAUUUUAAUUUUUUUUUCUUUAACAAUAAAGUGGCCAGUUUUCUUCAUUGUGCUUCUAGCCUGUAUAAUGUCAGGACCGGCUCAUGUAGUUAGCAUGAAAUUAGCGACGAGGAUGAGAGAGCAGUGUAUGGAGGAAACUGGUACCGAGAUGUCUACAAAGAGACGUGUCUGUUUCUGAAACAUGUGGUUGGUACAUUUUUCAUGAAGAGUUUGACGAUGGGAUGUUCUUUAGCAUUGUCCUUGGUGGGGGCUGUGGCACAUGAGUUCAUGGUAUUGCAUCUUUCCCUGAAGUUUGAAUUACUACACCUACUGGCUGCAAUAUUCUGUUCUGAAUGUGCUUUACUUCUUCAUGGAUCCUUCCUGUACAAGCCAGACAACAAGACAGACUACACACACACAGCUGCUGAGCCCAGUCUGCAGAACCGAGUAGCAUCCUCGGCGAGCUUUCGAUCAGUGAAAAUGCCUGCCAUUUUCAGUAAUGGUGAUCUGGUAGUGGAUCAUGUAAACAUGAUUCUUUAUGAGCUCUUCCAUUUGCUGAGACCUCCUGAGGAAGAUCGGAUUGAACUUGAAGUCAAGUCAUAAGGCUGAAAUCAAUCUUCAACCUUGAGGACAAGGUUGUUUUGGGGGGAGUAUUGAUAAGACUGCAUAUUGGGUCAAGGAGUGGGCUUCUCAUUAUUGGGCAUCGGAAAAAUAAGACAAGUGCCCAAGACAUUGCUCUUCUUUUAUCUUUUUAAGUCGAGUUAUUUCCUUGUAAACGUUUCACCGAAUCACGAUCACAAACAAUAUCGGGUUAAUCCCUAAUUUCUUUCUUUCUCUUUUCUCUUCUCAUCUCAUACUCCUCGUCAAUUCUCCCUCCCUUUCUUGUUACACAUAUUCGAUCCUCCUUUGAUCUUAUCACAAUUUGAGCAAAGAAAGAUCACUCAUGUUUUCUAGCGACACGGAAUCCUGAGGGUGAUAAUAACUCGGAAGAAAUAUUGCUCAACUUUGAAGCAUUGAAUUCAUAAAAGGAUGGCAAAAGCAACAUGCAUGAUUCAAGCUCUGAAUCUGAAUCAGAAAGUGAAGAUGAUGAUGAAGUUGGAGAUUUGAAUAGAUUGCUAGGGUUUGAGGAAAGGCGAAGGCGAGAAACUUGCUACCCAAGAAAGCAACACUAAACCCUGCAGAUGAGUCUGCUUUAAAAAAAGGAAGAGCAUCUGAAGCAGCCAUAGAAAGAAGUGUUCGUAACUCUGUUCUUUUAACCAUAAACGAUAACGUUUUUAAUUUAGUUCAGUACGGUUCGUAAUUCUCUCUCCUCUGUUUCAAAUUAAUUUUCAGUAGUCAAUAUGAAUAUUAUAUAAAUCAAUUGUUCUUCUUUUUUAAGCUGUUCCAAUUCGUAUCAUGAUUACAAAAAUUCAAUAGAAAAACUGAAGCCCUAACAAAUCUAUACCUACAAAAGGAGCAACGCUUUAAUUCUGAGACAAAGCAUGACGAGACAUACAAUAAAAGAUUACUAAAAUCCAAAACCAAUCAGCUUCUUCACCGAGAUAUUGCAGAAGUCGUUGACUGUUGUUGAGUAAGAGGAUAUACCACAGUCGCAAAGACUAAGAUGACGCAAAUCAAUCCAGUUCCUAAACCGUUCGUCGUUAAAGCAGCCGUCUUUGAAACAAUAUUCCAGCCGCUAAAGUUGCCUUUGAGAUAAAGCGUGAUGAAGAUUAGGGCGAUCGAUAAGAUCACAAACCCAUGUUGACGUAGAAAUUGCCUAAUUCGAUCACUGUUUUCGUUGAAGACGAUCGCAGCGACGAUGACUAACGAGAUGACGCAAAUCCAUCCAGUUCCUAAACCGCUCGGUUUAAAAUCUGCCGUCUUUGAAACGUUAUUCCAGCCGCUAAAAUAUCUUAUCAAACCGCAGAUAAACGAAACUGGGAAGAAACAGAUCUCAGCUAAUGUCAUCUUUGAUCUCUCUUCAACUUUUGUGCUUAUGUGUGUUUAGACAAAACUUGAAUAUUCGUCUUGGCUUGCUCUAUUUUUAUAGUGCAUGUUUCAUAUGGCGUUUUCCUUUUUUGGUAUUUUGGUUUUCUCUAUUUUUAUUUUUUUCCUUUAUUCCUAUAUUUUGUUAUUUCCUUUUUCCUGUUUUUCUUUCUUUACGACAUUUCCUUUUUUUGUUGGAUAGAAAAACAAACAAAAAUAGAUAUACGGAGUGCGAAGUGAAAAACACAUAUUUAUUGAGAAAACAGUAUGAUAUAACAAUUGUGGAUGGCAUAUAUAUUACAUGAAAUUUAUAAAAGCCUUACCUGCUUGUUAUCCCUUGCAUUAUUCACAUCACAAGCAAACGUAUUGAGUCCCCCCAUUCUUGAACCGAUGAAACCGGUUCACAUGUCUAACCAAAUCUCCCUUUCCACAAACUUCGAGAUGAACUUUGUAAAAACAAGUGACAGUCCCCACACUAACGCAACGCAAGUUCUUGGUGUGGUUCUCCUUUCGCUGUAUUUAUCAGCCCAAACGCCAGCCACCAGUUUCUCACUGCGCCCCAACACUAUCCACUCUUUCUCUUCCGUUGCGCGAUCUUACAAAACGCCUCUCGUUUGUGGUAUAAUAUAUGUACCCUCAGCUAACUUUAAUUAAGAGAGCAUGAAUCUGUUCCAUAAUAGGGUUAAACUCAUUCACGGAAACAAACAAGUAAAUUUUCUAAAAUGUUUUCAGCAUAUACUCAUAUUGCGAGGGAUUUUAAACCAAAUUCUCAUCUAGUGGUGUCAGUGGUGAGAGUUGGAAUAUAGGAGAAGAAAACUACUAUCUUGCUUAACAGGCAAGCCGAAUACCAAAAGAACUCCAUUUAAUUUUCGGAGGAACUUUCAUAUGGCUGGAAACUUGAAUCUUGGAAGAACACUUGAGUCAGAAAAGACUGAGAAGUCCAUCCAUUUUCAAAAUUGUGAAAGGUUUUAAGGAACACUUGAGCUGAUAACCACUUUCAACGACAGAAAAGUCAUUAUGAUGAAUGAAACAUGAAAAAUUGUUACAAACUCUUAAAAAAAGCUCUCUGUACAUCAAAUGAGUCGCUAUUGUAAUCCAACAGAUGCGAUCAAAGCUUAGUCAUAGAUGAGAGAACUUUUUAACUACAGUAUUUCCAGAUGAAAC
This is a long non-coding RNA of Brassica rapa (field mustard), 8996 nucleotides long. RefSeq lists it as uncharacterized. The record is from RefSeq and is a predicted model, not a curated record. NCBI's taxonomy places the organism in Eukaryota, Viridiplantae, Streptophyta, Magnoliopsida, Brassicales, Brassicaceae.